UACGGAGGGUGCAAGCGUUAUCCGGAUUUACUGGGUUUAAAGGGUGUGUAGGCGGGCUAUUAAGUCAGUGGUGAAAUCUCCGGGCUCAACCCGGAAACUGCCAUUGAUACUAUUAGUCUUGAAUUUUGUUGAGGUAGGCGGAAUAAGUCAUGUAGCGGUGAAAUGCAUAGAUAUGACUUAGAACACCAAUUGCGAAGGCAGCUUGCUAAACAAAUAGUGACGCUGAGGCACGAAAGCCAGGGGAGCAAACGGG
RNAcentral lists this ribosomal RNA (253 nucleotides) under uncultured bacterium. Its description in RNAcentral is "partial 16S ribosomal RNA". It matches the Rfam family "Bacterial small subunit ribosomal RNA", at positions 524 to 776 of the family's 1533-position model. The record is from RNAcentral.